GUGCCAGCCGCCGCGGUAAUACGGAGGGGGUUAGCGUUGUUCGGAAUUACUGGGCGUAAAGCGCACGUAGGCGGAUCAGAAAGUUGGGGGUGAAAUCCCGGGGCUCAACCCCGGAACUGCCUUCAAAACUUCUGGUCUGGAGUUCGAGAGAGGUGAGUGGAAUUCCGAGUGUAGAGGUGAAAUUCGUAGAUAUUCGGAGGAACAUCAGUGGCGAAGGCGGCUCACUGGCUCGAUACUGACGCUGAGGUGCGAAAGUGUGGGUAGCAAACAGGAUUAGAUACCCUGGUAGUCCACACCGUAAACGAUGAAUGCCAGUCGUCGGGUAGCAUGCUAUUCGGUGACACACCUAACGGAUUAAGCAUUCCGCCUGGGGAGUACGGUCGCAAGAUUAAA
Molecule: ribosomal RNA, 393 nt
Filed under: uncultured bacterium
Lineage: Bacteria
Description: bacterial SSU rRNA
Rfam family: Bacterial small subunit ribosomal RNA
Source: RNAcentral